This is a long non-coding RNA of Capra hircus (goat), 8888 nucleotides long. RefSeq lists it as uncharacterized. The transcript has 6 exons. The record is from RefSeq and is a predicted model, not a curated record. Lineage: Eukaryota; Metazoa; Chordata; Mammalia; Artiodactyla; Bovidae.
CCGUUCCCUUCUCCAUUUCUCUGUGUAGGGGAAAUAAUCUUAUCACUAGCUCAGAUAUUGACAUAACCUUUGUCAGCUAUCUUUGCCAGAUAGAUUUUAUAAAAAGUCAUAUGAAUCCUAAAUAAUAUAAUCUUUGCAUAGUACAGUGCCUGCGCAUGGCAUUUGAGAGGAGAGAAAUAAUGUGUUUUUGGAUUAUUGUUAAACAUUGUAGUGGUACUAGAUUGCCAUUUCAUUAAGACUUGGUUCAUUUUUGCCAUUCUUAUAAGAUAUGUGUUAAGCAUGUCAGCGUUCCCCUGAAUGAGCUCGUGGGUAUUGGCACCAUGUUGCUUCAAUUGCAGGAAAACCCGGACCCAGUGCGUGUUAAUGGGAGUCCAUAGACGACCAGGUUGUAGAGCAGACAGAGGUCGACCUGUGGUAGAGAUUCGUGUCACUCUGUAGGACAGAGGCAUCGAGCUCUUGUUCCUCUGAGUUACUCCCAAAUCUCCACUAGGCUUAGGAGUGACUUUGAGAGGAAUAAACUCUGGAUACCUCUGUGGGUGUGAAAGACAUCUGAGAAAACAUACAUUUGUGAUUCUGUCAUUCGGGGAGAAAGUGUCUUGGUAUGCUUUGACUUGUUAACUACCCUCGUUCCUUCUAGGGCAGUAACUGACAUUACACAAACUUGAGCCAAAAAGGUAUGUAUGGUUUUUGUCCGUUAUAGAAAAUUGCUUUUUGACUGACAGCCUCUCCCCGGCACCUGCCACACUCUGCUUUGGGAUGAGGCUCUGCAGACCACGUUUCUCCUCCGCGAAGCUUUGUGUUAGGUUCUACCGAUCAUGGGCCGCAUGGGAGGCAAGAGCCCCGAGGAGGGAGGGAGGCCCUGUUCCUCUGUGUUCACUACCUGUCCCCAGUGGUGGUGGCCCAGCCGUGGGCCUGCAGCCCACGAUGACACUUGGCAUUCCUAGCGGAGGUGGUCCCCGCCCACAGCUUUUCCACACCUCUGUAGAACCAUCGCAGCAGCAUCAGCCAGUGCUCCUCUCCAGACAUUUGAAUCCUAGCUCUGUGGGGUCCCGCCAAGUUCCUGAGGCACCCGAGCAGCAUCCAGGCCUCAAAGGUCUGAUUCCCAGCUCCUCAAGCCUCUAGGUCUUUCUUCAGAGUCCCUUGUCUUUGUUUGCAGCCCUGAGACCAGUGGCUCUUCCCGUGGUUCUCAUCUCUGUGACACCUAAGGGUCCCCCUCUUCCUGUCACCUCUUCAGUUCUGGUUGACAGAACUGGUUCUGGUUCAGUCUUUUCUGUUAGACUCUUUCUGUUAAAUAAUUGACAUGCUCGGCCUCCGGAUUGAACAGGCAGCCAGAUUUCUGGUUCCUGCUUGAGGGGAAGUGUGAUGGGUCUCCUUCCCACAGCCUUCAGCUCAGGUUGGCUUCCCUCCAGCACACGUGGACUUUGUUCCCAGAUCAUGGGGUUCACCCCAAGUGUGAAGAACCAAGAUGCUGGGGAAACUGGUGUUACCUCCUGUCUGGUCGUGAAGUCCUGUCCUUGGGCCCUCUCCCUUUAAUUCCCUCUCUUCUCUGCCUCAGUCUCUUCAACACCUUCUCUCUUCAUUCCUCUGCUUCCUUUUACUUACUUGGCAUCUUCCUGGCUUUGCUCUUCUCCGUAAUCCAUCUGGAGUCCAUCAUUGUCACUCCAGUUUCUCACCAGGACAGUCUUCUCUCUUCCCUGUUGUCCUCUGGUCACACUGCCCCACACAUCUGGGCCUGGCUCAUUCCACUGACCCCCUAGCCCGCUGCGGUGCCACUGGAGGGGAUUCCCACCCCGUGUCCGGUGUCCUCGGGCGCCAAGGGAGGCCUGGAGCGCGUGCCCCACCCCCUCUCCUGUCGGGGCUGUUCUCCCCGUGACCGCUGCAUCCCGAUCCUCCUUCCCUUGUCAUCUGGAAGGUGGCCUCACCUAGUUUUCCUCAGAGCAGGUGGAACACGGACGCAGGCCUAAGGUCUGCCACUGCCUCCACACUCACCACCUCUUCUUACCUUACUUGGAGGAAAGAUGUAUCCCCACCUGUCACAGGCUGAAUCUUCCACUGACCAACCGUGCUUUCUUCCAACCUUCUAAUGUGUUACAUAAUUUAUUAUCUGUCUCCCUUCUCCCCCAAGAGAACAAGGGCAGGGAUUUCACAUCCAUUUGGUUGGCUGCAUAUGCGACAAGGACAGGAGGUCAUCAUGGGUGAGUCCAAGGAUUUGGCCCUGAGCCCUGGGAGACUGGAGGUGCCUCUAACUCGGCUGGACGAGGUCACUGAUGGAGCGGAUUUGGAGGGCAGCUCAGAAAUUCACUUCCAGACGUGUUAGCACAUUAGACAUCUGUGUGGAGCUGUUGAGUGGGCUCCAGGAUGUGCAAGUUUCAGAGAGGAGGUCCAGGGAGAAGUACAGAUGCCCUUAGCACACAGAUGACAUUUUAAACCGUGGGCCGCUACAGGAAGUGACUGCACAGUGAAGCUUGAACUGAGCUCUGGGACACUCUAGCGCGUAGACCUCGGGGAGAUGGAGUAAAAGCCAUCAAGGAGCUGGACAGAAGCCCCAACUGUAUUGAGGAGGAAAAACCAGAGGAUGUCCUGUCCUGGAUUCAAGUGACAAGAGUCUUUCCGUGAAGGAAGCAAGAGGGAUCAGCCAUGCCCAGUGCUGCUGGGUCUACCCCCAGAGUGUUCUGUGAAUAUUACUCCCUUCCGCAAGCUGGUAUCACCAACGCAGCCAAGGAGCCAGGCCCUGAACCGUCCUGACUGGCCCCAGCCUGCUCCAUGCCCCAGAGGCGUCCCACAGUGCUUCCCGACCUGCAGCGGGUGAAAUACCGCAGCUGUUGCGUUUUUAACCACUGAACCAACGUGAUACAUUAAGGUAGCUGAUGGUGUCACAGGCAUCCGGGCCCUCUGGGAGCCGAUAUAUUUUUUCAACCCUGCUCUGCCUGCCAGCUAGUAGACACGUGAGUACAAUCUUCCUAUCUAAGGGCAUAGUUGGGUUCUUGGAAGAAGUGACACAUUGGUCACCGGGUGCGGAGAGACGUCGGAUCUGAGCUCUGUCACACAAGUGCUAACAAACAGAAAAUGGGCCAUGACAGGUAAAUACUUUAAUGGAUUGUAAUGUGCUUUUUUUCCCUUGGCUUCCCGUAAAAAAUCAAAUGAAACACCUUGUGCGAAAAAAUAGGAUACAUUUUUACUGGUUGUUUUAAUGAGAGAGAACCACUUUUGGCAACCAUCACCUUAUGCUUCCUACAGAUCCCCAGAGGAAAGCAGCUCUGUGUCUUGGACUGAGCCCCCAUGUAGACUGGGGCCGAGUGGACUCUCUGUUGCUCCCCACGGGGCUGUUCUUCGUGGCCAAGCUCGUGGAGAUCCAAGUCAGCAAUGCUAGCUGGGGGCUCUCCAACUUGCCCAUCACAUUGGGAACAAGGGGAUGAAGGCAUUCUGGAUUUUGUGAAGGUUUCUCAUCUGGCUUUUUUAAAAAACCCAUCAAUGUGGCAAGACCCAAGGCCUCUGGGAGCAUUCUGUGGCUUUUAAAGAGAGUCCUGUGCCUGGAUCCCCUGAAAUGUACACUGGAGUUAAUAUGCUGAAAGGUGGCUUCAGAAGCAAAGUGACACCAAGGUCCUCAAUUCUGGAACUGGCCAUCAUCACUGUCUUCAGGUGAUAAGUGGCUGACUCCAUCACACCCACCCUGUACACUCUCCUCCUGACACAACUGACCUUACCGUUGUGCCUGAGAGACUUUCCAUGGCAGAAGGUGGUUGGACCCCAUGUGGACAUACGCUGUUUACUGGGGGGUGGGCGAGCCCUCUCUCUCUGUGUUGAUCUGGUGGUGCCCUCCACCAGUGUGUCCGCCCUACCCUCACUGAGGGGAGCCAAGUGGCCCAGGGGCACCAGUGGAGUCCUCUAACCCCAGUCACUGGUCAGAGAUGGGCAAGUGACUGAGUGUGGACAAGUGGCUUUCUCAGUACAAGGCUGACCACUUCCUCCUGAGGAGGUGACCACCAGGGGCAGGAAGGAAAGGCAGAGAUGAAGAGAGAACCGGCAAGCUCCUUGUUUGCCCUCAGCCGCGAGGCAGGUGCUAUUCUGCAAAACCCUCUAGUUUAUAAAAGAACAUGCGUACAUGCUAAGUUGGUUAUUGUGCCCUCCCCUCCAGGGGGUCUUCCUGACCCAGGGAUCAAACCCAUGUCUCUUACAUCUCCUGUGCUGGCAGGUGGGUUCCUUACCACUAGCACCACCUGGGAAGCCCUUAUAAAAGAACAGUUGGGUCCAAGUCAUGUUUCUGGAAGCUGGAAUAAGUUAAGGUUAGCUGCUCAGUUGUGGAGAAGACACUUAAGGCUUUUCAUUCACCUAAGCUCCCCAUACCCUUGCUUCUCUUUUUUUUCCUUCUGAUAAGAAUUACCUCCCUGAAGUUUCUAAGAGCUAGCCUGGGUUAGAGUUCCUGGAGGAGACCAGGUGGAACAUCCCCAUCUCAAAGGCACCAGAAAAGAAUGGGAGUUCAUCCAAGAAGGACUUUCCUUUCCUAAAUCCAGGUCUUUUACAGUGUCUGCACCUCCCCCCUUUUGAGAUGAAGAGGGGUUGCCUAGGGAUUGAUAAAAGGUUGGUUGAGCUUUGAAUGGCUUCUAGAGCUGUAUUUCUGUUCUUGUAGAGACUAGGUUUGUAAGACAGGACUGUUUCUAAUUCCCCAAGGAAUUGGUUGCAACUUGAAUGAAUGAAGCCAACAGGAUUUUUACUUAGUUGAAUUUUUUUUUUUUAACAGUGGUGACAGCCUUGGGAUCCCAAGAGGACUUCAAAGUCCAAGAUUCCUCUGUUUUGGGUUCUCUCCAACUUUAUUCUGGAUUUGGACAAAGACAGAUUGUCCUUCUGGUGAGUACUUUUUUAGUUUCUGAAUUAGAGUGCACUUAGUUUACAUUUAAACAUGUAGUUUUUCCUGAGAGAAAAAUUAAAACAAAAAUUGGAGGGCAUGGGUCAAGCACCUGAUGAGAGACAACCAUCUCCAGAGCCCAGGCUCCCAGAUAGGAAAAUGUGGUCACGGCCCAGAAGGGGCACAAGGUCACUGGCCACCUGCAAGAAAAUUGAGUGUAUUGAGGAAGCCCUGGUCGGGGGUCUUGACAUACAGGGCACCCGGCCAUCUACCAGGAAAAGGAAGUAUCCUUGAGAGACAGACUGUCAGACCCGAGUCCUGGCCCUCAGUUUACCCCUGAGGCUGUUGAGGAUUUUCUCUGCUCUAGGAAAAACUCCACAAAUGGAUCCCAGUCACCUAAAUGUUUUAGGAGUGCCCUCCCCCCCACCACCUUAGGAACUACCCCCAGCAGUUUUAUGUUAAAAAACAUUGAGGUCUCUCCACUUGCACAUGGACUGCUCUUACUGAAGAUAAACUAGAAUAAGGGCGGUCACCAGGAGGAAUGUUCUUGUUGCACAAGAUUGUUCACUUCAGGAGUCCACAUCAAACAAGUGGAGUGGGAUGCCUAGUUUAGUCAGUAUGAUAAAGCUUGCAAAAUGCUUCAAAAUUCCCAAAUAGCUUCACUGAAACUCACUGCAAAAGGCUAGUAAAAAACUUAAAGACACAAGAGAUACCUAAAGUAAGAGUAAAACUUUAACUCCUCCCGCUCCCCUCUAUCCUCCUGGGUUCAUUCCGCUUGUCCUCUGUCUGCAGAGACUGCGAGACUGUAACAAAAGCCUGUCAAGUUAGUGCUUGUACAGACACCCCUAAAUCUAUCCCCACCCCCUGGGGAACCACCCCACCCCCACACCCUGGGCUCUCCCAGGGUUGAUGGGACUCUCCUGUAACUGCUUCCAGUUAUUCCCUUCCAAAGCCAAGGGGAAACUAAUAAUAAAAUUAAUGGAAAACCUUGCGGAAUCUCAGUAGCUAGUGAAGCUACACUCUAAACCCCACUUGUUCCAGAGCCUGCAGAUGGGAUCCUGGUCAGUCCGGCAGACAACAGCCAGGGUGAGCAUUCUGACCAGAGUCAGUUCUCCCGAAUCUGCCUGCCAUGGCCAGCUGAGAGAGAAAGGUGAACUUUCACAUCCCUCCCUUUCCAAAUCCAGACACACUGACUGAUCUUUUCUCUCUCAGGGGCCAUUCAGGUUGGGUGAAUACCACAGAAAUGUAAAUUGUACCCGUCUGCAGCUGAGGUCCUGCCUGAUGGGUGCCAGCCCUUAGGGGGAACGGAGUCUUCCCUUUUGGUUAUGGGAGUGGCUCUGGAUCUGGCAGGGUGGUAUCCUUGGCACCCUCUUUGGGAAUGCCUCUUGCGUCCAUGAGGUCUUUCAGUAUGGCCAGGAAUAUUUAUUGUUUGUCCUUCUGACAAGAUAUUUAAAAGGUUGUUUAAAUGGCUCUAUGGUCUGAUAUUCAGAGCCUAUUGGGGAUAAAGUUCCUAAGUCAAAAUGGAACUGUGUACCCAGAGGGAAAGAAAAAUAUUGCAAAGACAAAGCUCUAAAUCUGGAGCAUAAGAAUCUUUUGAAUUCCAUCAUAGUCAGUCUUCUUCAUGAUCUAAAGAAGCAAACAGAAGAUGACAUAGUUGGAGGCAUGGGACAGCCUGUGAUGUCAUUCACAGUGCAACCUGUCCUUUGUCUUAUAAACCUGGUCUUUACAAAAAUAGAAACGCAGGUUUAGAAGCAAAUCAAAGGCCACCUAUUCUAUCAAUCUCCAAACAUACUCUUUUCACUUCAGAAUGCUUGCAGACAUUGUAAAAGAUCUGAAUUUAAGAAAGAAAAGUCCUUGAAGGAACUCCCAUUUUGAGCAGGUAAGUUUAACUUACUCCAAUGUCCAGAAACAGGAUUUGGAUAAAACAGUUCUUCUAUAAACUAGCAAGUUCUGCUUUACUGUACCUGUCUCAAGGCUAAAAUUUUAAAACCAAAGCUUCCCGACCUCUGCAUCUGUCUGUAUGUUUGUGUAUGUACAUGGUAGGUUUGUAAUGUGUUUCUGCCUCUGAUGGGUACUGUAUAAUCAGUUUGUAAAAAAUGCAUCUAAUUGGCUUAAAGAAAAAUGAUUAUCAAAUUAAGUAUUCUAAAACUCAGAAAGUUUCAAAUUCACAUCAUAUGGGAUAAAUCAAGAGCUAUCUUAUGUUUGUUGGUUUGAUCAAAGUAGGUGUGUUAAAUAUUGAUAUAAUGCAGACAUAAUUUUGAUUCUACCUGUGUUUACUAGUCAAAUAAGUUCAUGUUAUCUUGGUUAUAAAAUGUGUCCAUAAAAAGAUAAGACAUUGGCUAGCUGUUUAAUGGCUAGAGAAAAUUUCUAAUUAAACAUAAUUGUUAACGAAUAAACAAACGGAGAAAUACGUAUUGGUCAUGAGCUGUAUGUUUUUCUCUGGGUAGAAGAGUUUUCCUGUUGAUAAGCAGCUGCCUCUUUUGUAGCAAAGAAAUGACUUCAAAACAUCCUCCCUGUAUGGGGCACCCCCAUCAUUUCUGCACAGUGACUGAGACUCACUUCACUGGCACAGCCUAAGAGCUCUGCAGAGUCCCUGCUUCUGCUGUACAGGCUGCCUUCAGGACAGGACAGAAGACUGGUGACAUCACUAAAACUCAGUGAGGAGGUGACCAAGGUGCUGUCCCUGGGCCUUCUGAAUCUAAGGGCCCCUCGAAAAACAGAGGCUCACUCCCUCUGCCUCAAUCUCCGCACUCUGACCCUCACAUUACCCAGCAGAACCUAUCAAAAAAUUGCUGGUCAUCUAUUGUCAGUUCCUCCUCAGGUUGAAGAAACUUACGCUGAACCAGAUAACAACCUGCCACUGACACCACUCGUCCACUACUUCCUGGAGAAGAUGUCCACUGAAAAAGACACCAGCUGAAGGACUCCUGCUCCUCUCCUGGGAAAUGACCUUUUCUGAAGUGAGAUUCAUGGAAAGUAACCUACCAUGAGCUCUUGAUGGCCACAUGGCUGCCCAAUCACAAGGCAUCAAACCUUGGGUAGAGACGUUACAACGGAUGAAGGCUCCACCUACCUUCUGGUCCCUCCCCUCCUGCGCAAAAGCUGGCAAUCUCAAACCAAACUGACUAGGGAGAGAAGUGGCCACCACAGAGAUCCCUCAUCCCCUGGCCAAGAGCUGAUGCAAAGGAGGCCACGAUCAGCAAUCUCUCCUUACCUCCUGAAGAUACUGCAGACCCUGCUGGUAAAGCAACAGCUGCCCAAUAAAAAAUCUAGACUGACCAGAGUUGUUCCUGAUGAGACAAGCCUCUGACAGCCUCUAGUCGAGCAAGGAGGUGUCUGUGCUGUGACCCACACCCCUGUACCUGGAUCGACACUUCGCAGGAAGGGGAGACUCAGCCACAGAAGACUACUGAACAAGCCCAGCACUUUCUUAGGCCAGCAGCCCAACCAACACAGUCGUUCUCCGGGGGUCAUUCUGGUUACAAGAGUAGUCACCGUAGGGUGCUGUGUUCUCUCAAAACCUUUAAAUACAGCUUUGCAGCCACAGGCCACCAAGCACAUGCUCUCCCUCGAACAGAACAUCAGAAAAGGAACAGAAUGACUGACUGAAAGAAUGUGAACCCAAUGUCAUGACCUGUGAAGACCGCACAGAGAUUCAGCAAAAAGCCGGUGAGAACCCCAGAGCCAUAGCUGGGGGUAGCCCUACUGCCUUACAUUUGGAUCAUUUGGAUGAAAAGGGGAGAACUGUUAAAAACAGCAGACCUGAAAUGCAGUUGUAUAGGCUAAGCUCCACGUCAUCACACCGAGACUUGACUUUACAGUUUCAGCUCCCCCAGGAAUGGGAUCCCCCAAUCCGCAUGAUGAGGACGUCACCUGCCAGACGCCUGCUGCCCCCGCCUGCCUCUUCACCUGGUGUAACUGCCUGUGCUUGCCUACACGUCUCUGCCUUUUGUGCAGCAUCUCAGAGCUCCUUGCUUUCUGCUGGACUGGAAGCUCCUUGAUUCACAAAUCACUGAAAUAAAGCCAGUAGGAUCUUUCAAAUUUA